RNAcentral lists this ribosomal RNA (472 nucleotides) under uncultured bacterium. RNAcentral describes it as "bacterial SSU rRNA". It matches the Rfam family "Bacterial small subunit ribosomal RNA", at positions 355 to 825 of the family's 1533-position model. The record is from RNAcentral.
UGGGGAAUAUUGGACAAUGGGCGAAAGCCUGAUCCAGCCAUGCCGCGUGUGUGAAGAAGGUCUUCGGAUUGUAAAGCACUUUAAGUUGGGAGGAAGGGCAGUAACCUAAUACGUUGCUGUCUUGACGUUACCGACAGAAUAAGCACCGGCUAACUCUGUGCCAGCAGCCGCGGUAAUACAGAGGGUGCAAGCGUUAAUCGGAAUUACUGGGCGUAAAGCGCGCGUAGGUGGUUUGUUAAGUUGGAUGUGAAAUCCCCGGGCUCAACCUGGGAACUGCAUUCAAAACUGACUGACUAGAGUAUGGUAGAGGGUGGUGGAAUUUCCUGUGUAGCGGUGAAAUGCGUAGAUAUAGGAAGGAACACCAGUGGCGAAGGCGACCACCUGGACUGAUACUGACACUGAGGUGCGAAAGCGUGGGGAGCAAACAGGAUUAGAUACCCCUGUAGUCCCUGAGCGGGCUGGCAAGGCGCAU